GAUAAACGCUGGCGGCGCACAUAAGACAUGCAAGUUGAACGGACUUAAUCGAAAUAUUUAUAUUUUGAAGCGGUUAGUGGCGGACUGGUGAGUAACGCGUAAGGAACCUGCCUAUUAGAGGGGAAUAACAGUGAGAAAUCAUUGCUAAUACCGCAUAUGCCAUAGAUAUCACAUGAUAACAGUGGGAAAGGAGCAAUCCGCUAAUAGAUGGCCUUGCGUCUGAUUAGAUAGUUGGUGGGGUAACGGCCUACCAAGUCGACGAUCAGUAGCCGGACUGAGAGGUUGAACGGCCACAUUGGGACUGAGAUACGGCCCAGACUCCUACGGGAGGCAGCAGUCGGGAAUAUUGCGCAAUGGAGGAAACUCUGACGCAGUGACGCCGCGCAUAGGAAGAAGGUUUUCGGAUUGUAAACUAUUGUCGUUAGGGAAGAGAAAGGACAGUACCUAAGGAGGAAGCUCCGGCUAACUACGUG
This 473-nucleotide ribosomal RNA is filed under the name uncultured bacterium. RNAcentral's name for it is "partial 16S ribosomal RNA". It matches the Rfam family "Bacterial small subunit ribosomal RNA", at positions 28 to 507 of the family's 1533-position model. The record is from RNAcentral.